RNAcentral lists this ribosomal RNA (651 nucleotides) under Rhizopus stolonifer. RNAcentral describes it as "eukaryotic LSU rRNA". It matches the Rfam family "Eukaryotic large subunit ribosomal RNA", at positions 53 to 618 of the family's 3401-position model. Lineage: Eukaryota; Fungi; Mucoromycota; Mucoromycetes; Mucorales; Rhizopodaceae. The record is from RNAcentral.
GAGGAAAAAGAAAAAUAAACAAUGAUUUCCCUAGUAACGGCGAGUGAAAGAGGAAAGAGCUCAAAGUUGGAACCUGUUUGGCCUAGCUAAACAGGAUUGUAAACUGUAGAAGUGUUUUCCAGGCAAUCCGAGUUAAUAAGUCCUUUGGAACAGGGCAUCAUAGAGGGUGAGAAUCCCGUCUUUGAUUCGAGAUAUUUUGUCUUUUGCGAUACACUUUCAAAGAGUCAGGUUGUUUGGGAAUGCAGCCUAAAUUGGGUGGUAAAUYUCACCUAAAGCUAAAUAUUGGCGAGAAACCGAUAGCGAACAAGUACCGUGAGGGAAAGAUGAAAAGAACUUUGAAAAGAGAGUUAAACAGUAUGUGAAAUUGUUAAAAGGGAACCGUUUGGAGCCAGACUGGCUUGUCUGUAAUCAAUCUAGGUUUCGUGCCUGGAUGCACUUGCAGACUAUUUGCCUGCCAACGACAAUUUUUUUUGAGUGUAAAAACUAUUGGAAAUGUGGCCAAUAUUUAUUUAUUGGUGUUAUAGUCCUUUAGAAAAUACCUUGAAUUGGAUUGAGGAACGCAGCGAAUGCUUCUCUUUUGAGGCAAAGUCUUUUAUUGGGAUUUACGGAUCAGACUGUGGCAUUGUCACAAGACUUGAAGUUUAAACCUAU